UGGGGAAUUUUGGACAAUGGGCGAAAGCCUGAUCCAGCAAUGCCGCGUGUGUGAAGAAGGCCUUCGGGUUGUAAAGCACUUUUGUCCGGAAAGAAAUCCUUGGCUCUAAUACAGUCGGGGGAUGACGGUACCGGAAGAAUAAGCACCGGCUAACUACGUGCCAGCAGCCGCGGUAAUACGUAGGGUGCAAGCGUUAAUCGGAAUUACUGGGCGUAAAGCGUGCGCAGGCGGUUUGCUAAGACCGAUGUGAAAUCCCCGGGCUCAACCUGGGAACUGCAUUGGUGACUGGCAGGCUAGAGUAUGGCAGAGGGGGGUAGAAUUCCACGUGUAGCAGUGAAAUGCGUAGAGAUGUGGAGGAAUACCGAUGGCGAAGGCAGCCCCCUGGGCCAAUACUGACGCUCAUGCACGAAAGCGUGGGGAGCAAACAGGAUUAGAUACCCUGGUAGUCCACGCCCUAAACGAUGUCAACUAGUUGUUGGGGAUUCAUUUCCUUAGUAACGUAGCUAACGCGUGAAGUUGACCGCCUGGGGAGUACGGUCGCAAGAUUAAAACUCAAAUGAAUUGACGGGGUCGUAGCUGUUUCCU
Molecule: ribosomal RNA, 585 nt
Filed under: uncultured bacterium
Lineage: Bacteria
Description: partial 16S ribosomal RNA
Rfam family: Bacterial small subunit ribosomal RNA
Source: RNAcentral